This 68-nucleotide transfer RNA is filed under the name Muraenolepis orangiensis (Patagonian moray cod). Its description in RNAcentral is "tRNA-Phe". Lineage: Eukaryota; Metazoa; Chordata; Actinopteri; Gadiformes; Muraenolepididae. The record is from RNAcentral.
GUUAUCGUAGCUUAAUUAAAGCAUAAUACUGAAGAUAUUAAGACGGAACCUAAAAAAUCCCGAAAACA